This 439-nucleotide ribosomal RNA is filed under the name uncultured bacterium. RNAcentral's name for it is "partial 16S ribosomal RNA". It matches the Rfam family "Bacterial small subunit ribosomal RNA", at positions 338 to 795 of the family's 1533-position model. The record is from RNAcentral.
CCUACGGGUGGCAGCAGUGGGGAAUAUUGCACAAUGGGGGAAACCCUGAUGCAGCGACGCCGCGUGAGUGAAGAAGUAUUUCGGUACGUAAAGCUCUAUCAGCAGGGAAGAAAAUGACGGUACCUGACUAAGAAGCCCCGGCUAACUACGUGCCAGCAGCCGCGGUAAUACGUAGGGGGCAAGCGUUAUCCGGAUUUACUGGGUGUAAAGGGAGCGUAGGCGGACAGUCAAGUCAGCGGUAAAAAUGCGGUGCUCAACGCCGUACAGCCGUUGAAACUGGCAGUCUUGAGUGGGCGAGAAGUAUGCGGAAUGCGUGGUGUAGCGGUGAAAUGCAUAGAUAUCACGCAGAACUCCGAUUGCGAAGGCAGCAUACCGGCGCCCUACUGACGCUGAGGCACGAAAGCGUGGGUAUCGAACAGGAUUAGAUACCCCUGUAGUC